Molecule: ribosomal RNA, 172 nt
Filed under: uncultured Levilinea sp.
Lineage: Bacteria; Bacillati; Chloroflexota; Anaerolineae; Anaerolineales; Anaerolineaceae
Description: partial 16S ribosomal RNA
Rfam family: Bacterial small subunit ribosomal RNA
Source: RNAcentral
ACUCCUACGGGAGGCAGCAGUAGGGAAUAUUGGUAAUCUGGGAAACCGGGAACCAGCAACGCCGCGUGUGCGAUGAAGGCCUUCGGGUUGUAAAGCACUUUUUAAGAGGAUGAGGAAGGACAGUACUCUUAGAAUAAGCCUCGGCUAACUACGUGCCAGCAGCCGCGGUAAU